GGCGGACGGGUGAGUAAUACUUAGGAAUCUGCCCAUUAGUGGGGGACAACUCGAGGAAACUCGAGCUAAUACCGCAUACGCCCUACGGGGGAAAGCGGGGGAUCUUCGGACCUCGCGCUAUUGGAUGAGCCUAAGUCGGAUUAGCUUGUUGGUAGGGUAAUGGCCUACCAAGGCGACGAUCCGUAGCUGGUCUGAGAGGACGAUCAGCCACACUGGGACUGAGACACGGCCCAG
This 234-nucleotide ribosomal RNA is filed under the name uncultured bacterium. Its description in RNAcentral is "partial 16S ribosomal RNA". It matches the Rfam family "Bacterial small subunit ribosomal RNA", at positions 97 to 334 of the family's 1533-position model. The record is from RNAcentral.